Molecule: ribosomal RNA, 441 nt
Filed under: uncultured bacterium
Lineage: Bacteria
Description: partial 16S ribosomal RNA
Rfam family: Bacterial small subunit ribosomal RNA
Source: RNAcentral
CCUACGGGGUGCAGCAGUGGGGAAUAUUGCACAAUGGGGGAAACCCUGAUGCAGCGACGCCGCGUGAGCGAGGAAGUAUUUCGGUUUGUAAAGCUCUAUCAUCAGAGACGAAAAAUGACGGUACCUGACUAUGAAGCCUCGGCUAACUACGUGCCAGAAGCCGCGGUAAUACGUAGGGGGCAAGCGUUAUCCGGAUUUACUGGGUGUAAAGGGAGCGUAGACGGCAAGGCAAGACAGAGGUGAAAGGGCAGGGCUCAACCGUGUAAAUGCUUUUGGGACUGGGGUGCUAGAGUGCAGGAGAGGGAAGUGGAAUUCCUAGUGUAGCGGUGAAAUGCGUAGAUAUUAGGAGGAACACCAGUGGCGAAGGCGGCUUACUGGACUGUAACUGACGUUGAGGCUCGAAAGCGUGGGGAGCAAACAGGAUUAGAUACCCCAGUAGUC